Molecule: ribosomal RNA, 2929 nt
Filed under: Escherichia coli
Lineage: Bacteria; Pseudomonadati; Pseudomonadota; Gammaproteobacteria; Enterobacterales; Enterobacteriaceae
Description: 23S ribosomal RNA
Rfam family: Bacterial large subunit ribosomal RNA
Source: RNAcentral
GGGUUGUGAGGUUAAGCGACUAAGCGUACACGGUGGAUGCCCUGGCAGUCAGAGGCGAUGAAGGACGUGCUAAUCUGCGAUAAGCGUCGGUAAGGUGAUAUGAACCGUUAUAACCGGCGAUUUCCGAAUGGGGAAACCCAGUGUGUUUCGACACACUAUCAUUAACUGAAUCCAUAGGUUAAUGAGGCGAACCGGGGGAACUGAAACAUCUAAGUACCCCGAGGAAAAGAAAUCAACCGAGAUUCCCCCAGUAGCGGCGAGCGAACGGGGAGGAGCCCAGAGCCUGAAUCAGUGUGUGUGUUAGUGGAAGCGUCUGGAAAGGCGCGCGAUACAGGGUGACAGCCCCGUACACAAAAAUGCACAUAUUGUGAGCUCGAUGAGUAGGGCGGGACACGUGGUAUCCUGUCUGAAUAUGGGGGGACCAUCCUCCAAGGCUAAAUACUCCUGACUGACCGAUAGUGAACCAGUACCGUGAGGGAAAGGCGAAAAGAACCCCGGCGAGGGGAGUGAAAAAGAACCUGAAACCGUGUACGUACAAGCAGUGGGAGCCUCUUUUAUGGGGUGACUGCGUACCUUUUGUAUAAUGGGUCAGCGACUUAUAUUCUGUAGCAAGGUUAACCGAAUAGGGGAGCCGAAGGGAAACCGAGUCUUAACUGGGCGUUAAGUUGCAGGGUAUAGACCCGAAACCCGGUGAUCUAGCCAUGGGCAGGUUGAAGGUUGGGUAACACUAACUGGAGGACCGAACCGACUAAUGUUGAAAAAUUAGCGGAUGACUUGUGGCUGGGGGUGAAAGGCCAAUCAAACCGGGAGAUAGCUGGUUCUCCCCGAAAGCUAUUUAGGUAGCGCCUCGUGAACUCAUCUCCGGGGGUAGAGCACUGUUUCGGCAAGGGGGUCAUCCCGACUUACCAACCCGAUGCAAACUGCGAAUACCGGAGAAUGUUAUCACGGGAGACACACGGCGGGUGCUAACGUCCGUCGUGAAGAGGGAAACAACCCAGACCGCCAGCUAAGGUCCCAAAGUCAUGGUUAAGUGGGAAACGAUGUGGGAAGGCCCAGACAGCCAGGAUGUUGGCUUAGAAGCAGCCAUCAUUUAAAGAAAGCGUAAUAGCUCACUGGUCGAGUCGGCCUGCGCGGAAGAUGUAACGGGGCUAAACCAUGCACCGAAGCUGCGGCAGCGACACUAUGUGUUGUUGGGUAGGGGAGCGUUCUGUAAGCCUGUGAAGGUGUGCUGUGAGGCAUGCUGGAGGUAUCAGAAGUGCGAAUGCUGACAUAAGUAACGAUAAAGCGGGUGAAAAGCCCGCUCGCCGGAAGACCAAGGGUUCCUGUCCAACGUUAAUCGGGGCAGGGUGAGUCGACCCCUAAGGCGAGGCCGAAAGGCGUAGUCGAUGGGAAACAGGUUAAUAUUCCUGUACUUGGUGUUACUGCGAAGGGGGGACGGAGAAGGCUAUGUUGGCCGGGCGACGGUUGUCCCGGUUUAAGCGUGUAGGCUGGUUUUCCAGGCAAAUCCGGAAAAUCAAGGCUGAGGCGUGAUGACGAGGCACUACGGUGCUGAAGCAACAAAUGCCCUGCUUCCAGGAAAAGCCUCUAAGCAUCAGGUAACAUCAAAUCGUACCCCAAACCGACACAGGUGGUCAGGUAGAGAAUACCAAGGCGCUUGAGAGAACUCGGGUGAAGGAACUAGGCAAAAUGGUGCCGUAACUUCGGGAGAAGGCACGCUGAUAUGUAGGUGAAGUCCCUCGCGGAUGGAGCUGAAAUCAGUCGAAGAUACCAGCUGGCUGCAACUGUUUAUUAAAAACACAGCACUGUGCAAACACGAAAGUGGACGUAUACGGUGUGACGCCUGCCCGGUGCCGGAAGGUUAAUUGAUGGGGUUAGCGCAAGCGAAGCUCUUGAUCGAAGCCCCGGUAAACGGCGGCCGUAACUAUAACGGUCCUAAGGUAGCGAAAUUCCUUGUCGGGUAAGUUCCGACCUGCACGAAUGGCGUAAUGAUGGCCAGGCUGUCUCCACCCGAGACUCAGUGAAAUUGAACUCGCUGUGAAGAUGCAGUGUACCCGCGGCAAGACGGAAAGACCCCGUGAACCUUUACUAUAGCUUGACACUGAACAUUGAGCCUUGAUGUGUAGGAUAGGUGGGAGGCUUAGAAGUGUGGACGCCAGUCUGCAUGGAGCCGACCUUGAAAUACCACCCUUUAAUGUUUGAUGUUCUAACGUUGACCCGUGAUCCGGGUUGCGGACAGUGUCUGGUGGGUAGUUUGACUGGGGCGGUCUCCUCCUAAAGAGUAACGGAGGAGCACGAAGGUUGGCUAAUCCUGGUCGGACAUCAGGAGGUUAGUGCAAUGGCAUAAGCCAGCUUGACUGCGAGCGUGACGGCGCGAGCAGGUGCGAAAGCAGGUCAUAGUGAUCCGGUGGUUCUGAAUGGAAGGGCCAUCGCUCAACGGAUAAAAGGUACUCCGGGGAUAACAGGCUGAUACCGCCCAAGAGUUCAUAUCGACGGCGGUGUUUGGCACCUCGAUGUCGGCUCAUCACAUCCUGGGGCUGAAGUAGGUCCCAAGGGUAUGGCUGUUCGCCAUUUAAAGUGGUACGCGAGCUGGGUUUAGAACGUCGUGAGACAGUUCGGUCCCUAUCUGCCGUGGGCGCUGGAGAACUGAGGGGGGCUGCUCCUAGUACGAGAGGACCGGAGUGGACGCAUCACUGGUGUUCGGGUUGUCAUGCCAAUGGCACUGCCCGGUAGCUAAAUGCGGAAGAGAUAAGUGCUGAAAGCAUCUAAGCACGAAACUUGCCCCGAGAUGAGUUCUCCCUGACCCUUUAAGGGUCCUGAAGGAACGUUGAAGACGACGACGUUGAUAGGCCGGGUGUGUAAGCGCAGCGAUGCGUUGAGCUAACCGGUACUAAUGAACCGUGAGGCUUAACCUUACAACGCCGAAGCUGUU